Molecule: ribosomal RNA, 2059 nt
Filed under: human gut metagenome
Description: bacterial LSU rRNA
Rfam family: Bacterial large subunit ribosomal RNA
Source: RNAcentral
AGGGUGAUAGCCCCGUAAGUGAAAAGGAUUGAGUGCUAGCAGUAUCCAGAGUACCAGCGGACACGUGAAACCCGCUGGGAAGAUGGGGGGACCAUCCUCCAAGCCUAAAUACUACUCAGUGACCGAUAGUGGAGCAGUACCGUGAGGGAAAGGUGAAAAGUACCCCGGGAGGGGAGUGAAAAAGAACCUGAAACCUUGUGCCUACAAGCACCGAGAGUCCGUUAAUGGAUGAUCGGGUACUUUUUGUAGAACGGUCCGGCGAGUUAAUAUUUGCAGCGAGGUUAAGGAACUGGAGUUCCGGAGCCGCAGCGAGAGCGAGUCUGAAUAGGGCGUAUGAAGUUGCAGGUAUUAGACCCGAAACCGGGUGACCUAUCCAUGAGCAGGCUGAAGCGGUGGUAAGACACCGUGGAGGGCCGCACCCACGUCUGUUGAAAAAGCCGGGGAUGACUUGUGGAUAGCGGAGAAAUUCCAAUCGAACUCGGAGAUAGCUGGUUCUCCCCGAAAUAGCUUUAGGGCUAGCGUUAUUUUAGAUUACCGGAGGUAAAGCACUGAAUGGUCUAGGGGCCGCGAGGUUACCAAAGCCUAUCAAACUCUGAAUGCCGGAUAAUUGAUGAAUAGCAGUCAGACUGUGUGAGAUAAGUCUCAUAGUCAAAAGGGAAACAGCCCAGAUCUACAGCUAAGGUCCCAAAUGAACACUAAGUGGAAAAUGAUGUGAAACUGCGAAGACAACCAGGAUGUUGGCUUAGAAGCAGCCACUCAUUCAAAGAGUGCGUAAUAGCUCACUGGUCGAGUGGUUUUGCGCAGAAAAUGUAACGGGGCUAAGUGUUCAACCGAAGCUUAGGCAUUGUACUUUGUACAUUGGGUAGGGGAGCGUCGUAUGCGGGGCGAAGUCAGAGCGGAAGCACUGGUGGACUGCAUACGAGUGAGAAUGCCGGAAUAAGUAGCGAGAAUUAUGUGAGAAUCAUAAUGGCCGAAAAUCUAAGGUUUCUUGGGGAAGGUUCGUCCGCCCAAGGUUAGUCGGGAGCUAAGCUCAGGCCGAAAGGCGUAGGCGAUGCACAUACGGUAGAAAUUCCGUAACCACCGAACAUUUAAGCUAGAGGGACGCUUUCUUUAAGUCUAUCCCGGGCGAUGGUUGCCCCGGGCGUAAGGGACCGAAAUAUAGUAGGGAAGUAGAUGGCGAGAGAGACGAGAAAAGCUCUAGUGUAUACUAAGGUGCCCGUACCGCAAACCGACACAGGUAGAUGGGAUGAGUAUUCUAAGGCCAACGGGAGAAGGGUUGUUAAGGAACUCGGCAAAUUGGCCCCGUAACUUCGGGAUAAGGGGCGCCUGCGAGAGCAGGCCGCAGUGAAAAGGCCCAAGCGACUGUUUAGCAAAAACACAGCUCUCUGCUAAAUCGAAAGAUGACGUAUAGGGGGUGACGCCUGCCCGGUGCUGGAAGGUUAAGGGGAGUGCUUAGCGCAAGCGAAGGUGCGAACUUAAGCCCCAGUAAACGGCGGCCGUAACUAUAACGGUCCUAAGGUAGCGAAAUUCCUUGUCAGGUAAGUUCUGACCCGCACGAAUGGCGUAACGAUUUGGGCACUGUCUCAACAGCCCGCCCGGCGAAAUUGUAGUACCGGUGAAGAUGCCGGUUUCCCGCAACUAGACGGAAAGACCCCAUGGAGCUUCACUGUAGCUUGAUAUUGGAUCUCGGUAUUCCAUGUACAGGAUAGGUGGGAGGCUAGGAAGUAAGCGCGCCAGCGUUUAUGGAGCCAACCUUGGGAUACCACUCUUGGGAUAUUGGGAUUCUAACCUGCGACCAUGAAUCUGGUCGGGGGACACUGUCAGGUGGGCAGUUUGACUGGGGCGGUCGCCUCCAAAAGAGUAACGGAGGCGCUCAAAGGUUCGUUCAGCACGGAUGGAAAUCGUGCACUGAGUGUAAACGCAUAAACGAGCCUAACUGCGAGAAUGACGGUUCGAGCAGUAACGAAAGUUGGAGUUAGUGAUCCGGCGGUAUGUGAAUGGAAAUGCCGUCGCUCAACGGAUAAAAGCUACCCUGGGGAUAACAGGCUGAUCUCCCCCA